RNAcentral lists this ribosomal RNA (550 nucleotides) under uncultured eukaryote. RNAcentral's name for it is "eukaryotic LSU rRNA". It matches the Rfam family "Eukaryotic large subunit ribosomal RNA", at positions 1066 to 1599 of the family's 3401-position model. The record is from RNAcentral.
CGAACGGGCAAGGAGCCGGGGUCGCCCGAUCGGACCCCGGACGUGAAGUCGACGAUGGUCGGUGGGCUGGUUUUGGUAAGCAGAACGGGCGAUUCGGGAUGAACCGGAAGCGGGGAGAAAGGGCCCGAGAUUGCGUCGACGCGGAUCCCGAAAAGGGCGUCGAUCCGUCGCGACAGCGGGACGGUGGUCAUGGAAGUCGAAAUCCGCUAAGAAGCGUGUAAAAACGUACCCGCCCAACGGAUCGGCCCCGAAAAUUGAUGGCGCUCGAACGCAACCCUCGAACCCCGCCGACGGAGGCUAGGGGAGGCCCCGUCGAGUAGGCGGACGCGCGGGUCGCUUCGACGCUCCCGCGCGAGCGGGGGCGGAGCGGCCCGUGGUGCAGAUCUUGGUGGUAGUAGCGAUCACCCAGGCGAGAACCCUGAGGGCCGAAGUGGAGAAGGGUUUCUCGAGAACGGCACUCGCUCGAGAGUUAGUCGAUCCUAAGCUGCCGGCGGCAGCCACGAAACGGUCGAUCGGGCGCGAGCCCGGCAGCCACGACCGGGCAGCGAAA